GCCGCUGUAGCUCAGUUGGUAGAGCAGCGGACUUUUAAUCCGUAGGUCGUGGGUUCGAGCCCCACCGGCGGCA
RNAcentral lists this transfer RNA (73 nucleotides) under Solirubrobacteraceae bacterium. Its description in RNAcentral is "tRNA-Lys". It matches the Rfam family "tRNA". Rfam says of the family: Transfer RNA (tRNA) molecules are approximately 80 nucleotides in length. RNAcentral also lists the same sequence under 2 other names. Lineage: Bacteria; Bacillati; Actinomycetota; Thermoleophilia; Solirubrobacterales; Solirubrobacteraceae. The record is from RNAcentral.